CAUCGCUCAACGGAUAAAAGGUACUCCGGGGAUAACAGGCUGAUACCGCCCAAGAGUUCAUAUCGACGGCGGUGUUUGGCACCUCGAUGUCGGCUCAUCACAUCCUGGGGCUGAAGUCGGUCCCAAGGGUAUGGCUGUUCGCCAUUUAAAGUGGUACGCGAGCUGGGUUUAGAACGUCGUGAGACAGUUCGGUCCCUAUCUGCCGUGGGCGUUGGAUGAUUGAGAGGGGCUGCUCCUAGUACGAGAGGACCGGAGUGGACGAACCUCUGGUGUUCGGGUUGUGUCGCCAGACGCAUUGCCCGGUAGCUAAGUUCGGAAUCGAUAACCGCUGAAAGCAUCUAAGCGGGAAGCGAGCCUCAAGAUGAGUCAUCCCUGAUACUUUAAGUAUCCUAAAGGGUUGUUGGAGACUACGACGUAGAUAGGCAGGGUGUGUAAGCGCUGUGAGGCGUUGAGCUAACCUGUACUAAUUGCCCGUGAGGCUUAACCAUACAACACCCAAGGGGUUU
Molecule: ribosomal RNA, 506 nt
Filed under: Photobacterium damselae
Lineage: Bacteria; Pseudomonadati; Pseudomonadota; Gammaproteobacteria; Vibrionales; Vibrionaceae
Description: bacterial LSU rRNA
Rfam family: Bacterial large subunit ribosomal RNA
Source: RNAcentral